Non-coding RNA from Dendroctonus ponderosae (mountain pine beetle), 45 nucleotides. The record is from Rfam. NCBI's taxonomy places the organism in Eukaryota, Metazoa, Arthropoda, Insecta, Coleoptera, Curculionidae.
AAAUCGGUCCUUUUCAGGACUACAAAAAUUUGAAACAAAUGGUCG